UCCUCCAGCCAGGUCCAGACAUGAUGACGAUCCCGUAGUGGCGCCCCCAGUCCUCCAGCCAGGUACAGACAUGAUGACCGAUCCCGUAGUGACGCCCCCAGUCCCCCAUCCAGGUCCAGACAUGAUGACCGAUCCCGUGGUGAUGCCCCCAGCCCCCCGGCUAGGUCCAGACUUGAUGAAAGAGCACAGCGAAGUGAUGACCGAUCCCGUAGUGAUGCCCCCAGUCCUCCGGCCAGGUCCAGACAUGAUGUUAGAUCGCGGCGAUGUGAUGCCCGAUCCCGUAGUGAUGCCCCCAGUCCCCCGGCCAGGUCCAGACAUGACAGACCCUGGCAUGGUGAUCUCAGCAGCCCCCCCUAUGACAGGCAUGAUGCAGUGACUGAGACUGGGAGAUGGGCCUUCCCAUUGCCUUGGGAUGUGUUCCAGAAAAGUCCUGAGCCUACUGGUCGAAAUCGUCUGAAGGAAACACAGCCUGCCUCUUCAGCUGUCCAUAUUGAGAGGAUUUGAGUUACAGGAGCAACGCCUCUCUGAUGCACAGACCUUUGAUACCCUAGUGCUGCAAAUUUCAAGAAUUGGUGGGCGGAACACCAAGGACUGUGCUGGGUUGGACAGGCUCUUCACCAACAGCCUCAUGGCCAAAUUUAAUUUGAAGGGCAAGGGGAAAAAGGGGAAACGUCCUUUAGAGGGAACAAAGGUUUAUAGAGCAAUACAAAGGCUCAUGAAAUCCGAUCCCACAGCCACCGAGGAGAACAUCAAAGCAUUC
Long non-coding RNA from Alosa alosa (allis shad), 760 nucleotides. RefSeq lists it as uncharacterized. Lineage: Eukaryota; Metazoa; Chordata; Actinopteri; Clupeiformes; Clupeidae. The record is from RefSeq and is a predicted model, not a curated record. The transcript has 6 exons.